Molecule: small RNA, 960 nt
Filed under: Pan troglodytes (chimpanzee)
Lineage: Eukaryota; Metazoa; Chordata; Mammalia; Primates; Hominidae
Description: processed transcript
Source: RNAcentral
UAAUCAGCAUUAAGCCAUCCACCAUGUGGUUUGGAGAAAGGAGCAGAAAAACAAAUGUAAUUGUGAGGACUGGAGAGAGUUCAUACAGAGCUUGUUUUUCUUUUCACUCCUCCUACAGUGAGAUUAAAGAUUUCUUGAGCUACCUCUGUCCUGUGAACGCAUAUCCAAAUGUCAUUCCAGUUGGCACAACUAUGGAUAAAGUUGUCGAAAUAUCAUCCUAAAGGCUUCCCGGAAUCUGCCAGGAGGAGGCAGUUGGCAGUGAGGCCUUCGAAAGGGCUUAAAGCCUUUAUGCCGGUCUUCCCAAAGUACGGAGCCAAAGUAUAAACCACUGGGAAAACUGAAGAGAGCUAGAACAGUUCACCGAGACUCAGAGGAGGAAGAUGACUAUCUCUUUGAUGAUCCUCUGCCAAUACCUUUAAGGCACAAAGUUCCGUACCAGGAAACUUUUCACCCUGAGGUAUUUUCAAUGACUGCAGUAUCAGAAAAGCAGCCUGAAAAACUGAGACAAACCCCAGGAUGCUGCAGAGCAGAGUGUAUGCAGAGCUCUCGUUUCACGAACUUUGUAGAUUGUGAAGAAUCCAACAGUGAAAGUGAAGAAGAAGUAGGAAUCCCAGCUUCACUGCAAGGAGAUCUGGGCUCUGUACUUCACCUGCAAAAGGCUGAUGGGGAUGUACCCCAGUGGGAAGUAUUCUUUAAAAGAAAUGAUGAAAUCACAGAUGAGAGUUUGGAAAACUUCCCUUCCUCCACAGAGGCAGGGGGAUCUCAGUCACCAAAGCUUUUCAGUGACUCUGAUGGAGAAUCAACUCACAUCUCCUCCCAGAAUUCUUCCCAGUCAACACACAUAACAGAACAAGGAAGUCAAGGCUGGGACAGCCAAUCUGAUACUGUUUUGUUAUCUUCCCAAGAGAGAAACAGUGGGGAUAUUACUUCUUUGGACAAAGUUGACUACAGACCAACAAU